Molecule: ribosomal RNA, 611 nt
Filed under: Steinernema abbasi
Lineage: Eukaryota; Metazoa; Nematoda; Chromadorea; Rhabditida; Steinernematidae
Description: bacterial SSU rRNA
Rfam family: Eukaryotic small subunit ribosomal RNA
Source: RNAcentral
CGAAUUCCGCUCUCAAAAUGUACUUAACCAUUGUUGCGGUUAAAAAGCUCGUAGUUGGAUUUUUGCGACGCGAAGUGGUUCGUUUUUUGAACGUUUACUGCUUUGUAUCGCUCUGUUUUGAUGGUUUUUGGCUGGUGCCUUUCGCGAGGUGUUAGUCGUGACUGUCGAGUUUACUUUGAAUUAAUUAGAGUGCUCAAUACAGGCGUUUUGCUUGAAUAUUCUAGCAUGGAAUAAUGGAAUAGGACUUUUGUUCGAUUUUAUUGGUUUUAUGAAUAAAAGUAAUGAUUAGUAGGAAUAAACGGGGGCAUUCGUAUUGUUACGUUAGAGGUGAAAUUCUUGGACCGUAGCAAGACGAUCUACUGCGAAAGCAUUUGCCAAGAAUGUUUUCAUUAAUCAAGAACGAAAGUUANGGGUUCGAAGGCGAUCAGAUACCGCCCUAGUCCUAACCCUAAACUCUGCCAACUAGCGAUCCGUCGAUGGUAUUUUUGCCUUGAUGGGGAGCUAAUCGGAAACGAAAGUCUUCCGGUUCCGGGGGAAGUAUGGUUGCAAAGCUGAAACUUAAAGAAAUUGACGGAAGGGCACCCCAAGAGUGGAACCUGCGGCUUAAUUUG